AGUGAACGCUGGCGGUAGGCCUAACACAUGCAAGUCGAACGGCAGCACAGGAGAGCUUGCUCUCUGGGUGGCGAGUGGCGGACGGGUGAGGAAUACAUCGGAAUCUACUUUUUCGUGGGGGAUAACGUAGGGAAACUUACGCUAAUACCGCAUACGACCUACGGGUGAAAGCAGGGGACCUUCGGGCCUUGCGCGAUUGAAUGAGCCGAUGUCGGAUUAGCUAGUUGGCGGGGUAAAGGCACACCAAGGCGACGAGCCGUAGCUGGUCUGAGAGGAUGAUCAGCCACACUGGAACUGAGACACGGUCCAGACUCCUACGGGAGGCAGCAGUGGGGAAUAUUGGACAAUGGGCGCAAGCCUGAUCCAGCCAUACCGCGUGGGUGAAGAAGGCCUUCGGGUUGUAAAGCCCUUUUGUUGGGAAAGAAAUCCAGCUGGCUAAUACCCGGUUGGGAUGACGGUACCCAAAGAAUAAGCACCGGCUAACUUCGUGCCAGCCGCCGCCGCAA
This 506-nucleotide ribosomal RNA is filed under the name uncultured bacterium. Its description in RNAcentral is "partial 16S ribosomal RNA". It matches the Rfam family "Bacterial small subunit ribosomal RNA", at positions 29 to 523 of the family's 1533-position model. The record is from RNAcentral.